Molecule: small nuclear RNA, 108 nt
Organism: Grammomys surdaster
Lineage: Eukaryota; Metazoa; Chordata; Mammalia; Rodentia; Muridae
Source: RefSeq, a predicted model, not a curated record
GAGUACUCACUUCUGCACCAGUAUACUGAAAUUGGAACAAUGCAGAGAAGAUUAGCAUGGAUCCUAUGCAAGAAUGACAGGAAAAUUCAUGAAGUAUUGCAUACUUUU